This 222-nucleotide long non-coding RNA is filed under the name Monodelphis domestica (gray short-tailed opossum). RNAcentral describes it as "lncRNA (ENSMODG00000035041.2)". Lineage: Eukaryota; Metazoa; Chordata; Mammalia; Didelphimorphia; Didelphidae. The record is from RNAcentral.
CAAAGGAAAAGACUUCUGAAUCAAGUUCCAAGUCAGAGUUUGAGCGUUUCAUUUUGUGUAGCCUUCUAAAGUUGGUAUGAGCAGAUGAUGAAGACUUACUUCCUGAGGCUUUCAAUCUGUUGGGGCACCAGAGUGCUCUCUUCUCCAGUGGCUACCAGGUGUCUGGAGAUCAGCCUGUCUGGCUCAUGUAAAAGUCAAGGGCUGGGGAUGAUGCUGUUUUAA